UAUCAAUCUUAGUGGCGAACGGGUGAGUAACGCGUAAUCAACCUGCCCUUCAGAGGGGGACAACAGUUGGAAACGACUGCUAAUACCGCAUACGAUCUAACCUCGGCAUCGAGGAUAGAUGAAAGGUGGCCUCUAUUUAUAAGCUAUCACUGAAGGAGGGGAUUGCGUCUGAUUAGCUAGUUGGAGGGGUAACGGCCCACCAAGGCGAUGAUCAGUAGCCGGUCUGAGAGGAUGAACGGCCACAUUGGGACUGAGACACGGGCCAGACUCCUACGGGAGGCAGCAGUGGGGAAUCUUCCGCAAUGGACGAAAGUCUGACGGAGCAACGCCGCGUGAGUNAUGACGGCCUUCGGGUUGUAAAGCUCUGUUAAUCGGGACGAAAGGCCUUCUUGCGAAUAGUUAGAAGGAUUGACGGUACCGGAAUAGAAAGCCACGGCUAACUACGUGCCAGCAGCCGCGGUAAUACGUAGGUGGCAAGCGUUGUCCGGAAUUAUUGGGCGUAAAGCGCGCGCAGGCGGAUUGGUCAGUCUGUCUUAAAAGUUCGGGGCUUAACCCCGUGAUGGGAUGGAAACUGCCAAUCUAGAGUAUCGGAGAGGAAAGUGGAAUUCCUAGUGUAGCGGUGAAAUGCGUAGAUAUUAGGAAGAACACCAGUGGCGAAGGCGACUUUCUGGACGAAAACUGACGCUGAGGCGCGAAAGCCAGGGGAGCGAACGGGAUUAGAUACCCCGGUAGUCCUGGCCGUAAACGAUGGGUACUAGGUGUAGGAGGUAUCGACCCCUUCUGUGCCGGAGUU
This 793-nucleotide ribosomal RNA is filed under the name uncultured Veillonella sp. RNAcentral's name for it is "bacterial SSU rRNA". It matches the Rfam family "Bacterial small subunit ribosomal RNA", at positions 84 to 853 of the family's 1533-position model. Lineage: Bacteria; Bacillati; Bacillota; Negativicutes; Veillonellales; Veillonellaceae. The record is from RNAcentral.